Molecule: ribosomal RNA, 641 nt
Filed under: Marasmius epiphyllus
Lineage: Eukaryota; Fungi; Basidiomycota; Agaricomycetes; Agaricales; Marasmiaceae
Description: eukaryotic LSU rRNA
Rfam family: Eukaryotic large subunit ribosomal RNA
Source: RNAcentral
UGACCUCAAAUCAGGUAGGACUACCCGCUGAACUUAAGCAUAUCAAUAAGCGGAGGAAAAGAAACUAACAAGGAUUCCCCUAGUAACUGCGAGUGAAGAGGGAAAAGCUCAAAUUUAAAAUCUGGCAGCUUCGCUGUCCGAGUUGUAAUUUAGAGAAGUGUUACCCGUGCUGGACCGUGUACAAGUCUUCUGGAACGGAGCGUCAUAGAGGGUGAGAAUCCCGUCUUUGACACGGACUACCAGUACAUUGUGGUACACUCUCAAAGAGUCGUGUUGUUUGGGAAUGCAGCACUAAAUGGGUGGUAAAUUCCAUCUAAAGCUAAAUAUUGGCGAGAGACCGAUAGCAAACAAGUACCGUGAGGGAAAGAUGAAAAGAACUUUGGAAAGAGAGUUAAACAGUACGUGAAAUUGUUAAAAGGGAAACGCUUGAAGUCCAGUCGCGUUGGUUGGAAAUCAGUCUUGCUUUUGCUUGAUGUACUUUCUAAUUGACGGGUCAACAUCAGUUUUGACCGUUGGAAAAAGAUUAGAGGAAUGUGGCAUCUUCGGAUGUGUUAUAGCCUUUAGUUGUAUACAACGGUUGGGACUGAGGAACUCAGCACGCCGAAAGGCCAGGUACUUGUACCAUGUACGUGCUUAGGAUG